CAACCGCGUAGUCGAUAGCUGACCUUGACGUACUACGAAGCCAGCUAACUACGUCAGCAGCGCGUAUACGUAGUUGCAGCGUAUCCGAAUAUGGCGUAAGCGGCGCAGUUGUUCUAGUCUGAUGGAAAGCCCACGCUCACCGUGGAGGUCAUGAACUGGGAGACUGAGUGCAGAGAGGAAAGUGAUCCAUGUGUAGCGUGAAAUGCGUAAGAGAUAUGAGACACCAGUGGCGAGGACUUCUGGUCUGUAACUGACACUGGAGGCCGCGAAAGCGUGGGGAGCAAACAGGAUAGGAUACCUGGUAGUCCACGCGGUAAACGAUGAGUGCUAGGGUAGGAGGGUUUCCGCCUUUUAGUGCUGAAGUAAACGCAUUAAGCACUCGGCUUGGGGAGUACGGCCGCAAGGUUGAAAUUCAAAGGAAUUGACGGGGGCCGGCACAAGCGUUGGAGCAUGUGGUUUAAGGAAGCAACGGGAGGACCCUUACUCUUGACUUCUUCUGCCAACCUUAGAGAUAGGGUUUUUCUUUCGGGAGCAGGUGCCAGGUGGUCCAUGGUUGUCUUCAGUUCGUGUUGAGAUGUUGGGUUAAUUCCCGCAACGAGCGCAACCCUUGUUCUUAGUUGCCAUCAUUAAGUUGGCCAUUUUAAGGUGACUGCCGGUGCCAAACCGGAGGAAGGUGGGGAGGAGGUCAAUUCUUCAUGCCCUUUAUGCCUUGGGUUCCGCACGUGUUCCAAUGGAGGUACAAAGAGUUGCAGGACCGGGAGGUGGAGUUAUUUUCAUAAACCGUUUUCAGUUCGGAUUGUAGGUGCAAUUGGCUUCCAUGAAGCUGGAAUCGUUGGAAUCGGGGAUCAGCAUCGGUGAAUACGUUCCCGGGCCUUUGUCCACACCGCCCGUCCCACCACGGGAUUGUACCACCGGAAUCGGUGGGGUACCCUUUUGGAGCCCGCCCGCCUAAGGGACGCCGGACAAAAGAUUGGGGUCAAAUCCUAACAAGGGAACCGUAUCCGAAGGGGCCAGCGUUCAUCCUCCUUUAGGCCGAAACUUAUAAAUAA
Molecule: ribosomal RNA, 1049 nt
Filed under: Bacillus sp. DAB-bt4
Lineage: Bacteria; Bacillati; Bacillota; Bacilli; Caryophanales; Bacillaceae
Description: bacterial SSU rRNA
Rfam family: Bacterial small subunit ribosomal RNA
Source: RNAcentral